This 274-nucleotide unclassified non-coding RNA is filed under the name uncultured fungus. RNAcentral describes it as "sequence contains ITS1, 5.8S rRNA gene". The stretch from base 226 to 274 matches the Rfam family "5.8S ribosomal RNA", at positions 1 to 49 of the family's 154-position model. Lineage: Eukaryota; Fungi. The record is from RNAcentral.
UUUCCGUAGGUGAACCUGCGGAAGGAUCAUUAACGAGUUAGGGUCUUCUAGGCCCGACCUCCCAACCCUUUGUUUACUGAACCAUUGUUGCUUCGGUGGGUCCGUCUCAGGACCGCUGGGGGACCGCCGCGAGGCAUCCCCUGGCCCGUGCCCGCCGAUAGCCCAACUCUUAAACCCUUAAUGAAUCGUGUCUUAUGUCUAAAUCAUGAUUUAAAAUCAAAACAAAACUUUCAACAACGGAUCUCUUGGUUCUGGCAUCGAUGAAGAACGCAGC